This 59-nucleotide transfer RNA is filed under the name Gononemertes parasita. RNAcentral describes it as "tRNA-Ser". Lineage: Eukaryota; Metazoa; Nemertea; Enopla; Monostilifera; Prosorhochmidae. The record is from RNAcentral.
GGCUGUUUUUUUUGUGUUUUGAAAGCAUAUUUUUAAGUAUUAGUUUUACUUAGUAGCUU